UACAGGGGGGGCUAGCGUUGUUCGGAAUUACUGGGCGUAAAGCGUGCGCAGGCGGCUUCUCAAGUCAGGGGUGAAAGCCCAGAGCUCAACUCUGGAAUUGCCUUUGAGACUGAGUGGCUUGAGUACGAGAGAGGUGAGUGGAAUUCCCAGUGUAGAGGUGAAAUUCGUAGAUAUUGGGAAGAACACCGGUGGCGAAGGCGGCUCACUGGCUCGUAACUGACGCUCAUGCACGACAGCGUGGGGAUCAAACAGG
This 253-nucleotide ribosomal RNA is filed under the name uncultured bacterium. RNAcentral's name for it is "partial 16S ribosomal RNA". It matches the Rfam family "Bacterial small subunit ribosomal RNA", at positions 524 to 776 of the family's 1533-position model. The record is from RNAcentral.